RNAcentral lists this long non-coding RNA (3187 nucleotides) under Homo sapiens (human). RNAcentral's name for it is "non-protein coding lnc-CNPY1-11:2". The record is from RNAcentral. Lineage: Eukaryota; Metazoa; Chordata; Mammalia; Primates; Hominidae.
AAAUCACGCCAUUGCACUCCAGCCUGGAGAGGGAGCGAGACUGUCUCAAAAACAAACAAACAAACAAACAAAAAACCAAAACACCUGUCGUCAUGUAUCGUGCUUAUCAAUUCUAAGAUGCAUGCUGCUUCUCCUCCCGACAUCUCUGUUAGGUUCCGUCUUCCUCUUAGGUUCCAUUUUACUCUUGAAGGGACCUCACGGUUUAGUUGCCAGCAUUUUUUUCUUCCCUGUUAGUGCAUAAAACAAUGGUACAGCUUAUAGUUUACAGCAUCUGAGAGGAGGUUGGAUGUCAAACAAAAUCAGGAAGCGAGGGAGAAGACCAUCAUUGUGGGCUGUGCUGAUAGAAACGCCGUCAGACCUGCCCGAGAUGCGGUGGUUCAGCCCAUGCCAGGGAGAAGAUGCCGCGUGGCCACGGAGGCAGAGAUGGCGGAGAGGCAGCUGCAGCUGGGAAAGGGUUGCGGGAGCAAGUCUCGUCUCAAGACCGUCUGCUCCCCGAGGCUCCGUGGAGGAAGCGUGGCCCUGCUGGCGCCUUGGUUUUGGAGUUCGGGCCUCCAGGACUGUGAGGACGUGCGUUUCAGUUGUGUUGAGCCUCCCAUUCGUGGUUGGUUGUUACAGUGGCCCUGGGAAGCAAAUUCGCUUGCUAAGUGCAAAAUCUGAUGCAGACCCCGUGGGAGCACGGAGAGGCUCAACCCGUCUGCCUGCCAGCUUUGACCCUGCAUGUACUCACGUGUGCCCAGCACACGUGUUCCUGGGACCUGUGCCUCCCAGUCCCUCCUACAGGGCCUACCCGUAAGGCCCUCUGUUGAGACCCAUAGGAUCCAGCAUCGCCUUCCUAAGGGUUCUCUAUCUCCACAGUGCCCCCAGAGCCCCUGUUGCUUAGUGGUUCAGUAGAACCAUUGAGUAACACGGCUUUCCUUCUUAUGCAUAGCGCUCUGCCCAGGAGACUGGCCCUUCCAGGACAGAAGGCCCAUCUUCCCAAUGUUUUGGGGAGUUAGGGGAGGAGCUCAGGGUGGGGAUAGGAAUCCAUCCAGGGCUUUCAUCAUAGAAGGUGGGUGGGGUCUGCCCAGGUGCUGACCACACUGCGGGGGGCCCACCCUUUCUUUCCCAGCAGCUCUCUGGGUCCCGGCAAGGAAAGGAGGGCUUGCUUCAGUGGGUGGUUGAGGAGGAUUGAACAAAGCAGGUUUAUUAUAUUAAAAAAAAAAAGGUGGGAGGGACUAAGGGAUGCCAGCACAGGAAGAAGAAGCAUCCAGGAGCUGUUCCCACCCCAGGCCAGAUGUGGAGGGAGCUGUAGCCGUCACUCUGUGCUCAGCUCGAGCUGCCGUGGUCAGAGCAGGACCACCGGAAAGGAGUGCUGGCUUCCUGGAAAGGAGCACCUCCACGGCUGCCUCGGCCAGGGAGGGAACUGGACACUAGCCUCAUGUUUCUCCAACCUCCAGCUGCCCCUCCCAGCUUCUGCUGUGACUGAAUCCACCUGGAGGCCAGAGGAUAGGGAAGCCCAUGGAUGCCGGCCAUAGAGGCCAGGGCCUUGGGGCACAGAGCCAGCGGAGUGCAGGAUCUCGUAAGGAGGCCACUUGCAUUCAGAAUCUGUCAAAGGACCAUUUUCAAAGCAGAGCUUAAAGCGGCAUCACUAGCACGUCUCACACAACACAGAAGUCCUGGGGUCGAGGCCUGGGCGCAGUCUCUGCUCUCCGUGAAUUCAGUCAACGAGGCUUUGCCUGUCCUUGCCGGUGCCCUGGGGAGAUGCAGCGGAACGGGCUGCCUCUCCUCGUUCUGUGGGAGCUCACAACCGUGUUUGGCACACGCAGGUCAGCCAGGGUGAAGGGUGAAGUGUGAGCAGGAGGAGGAACAAGCCGAGGGCUGCAAGAGGAAGAAGAGGGCGGUCACUGAAAGGGCCACGGAGCUGUGCCCCAAGGUCCUGUUGGUUCUGAGUUCAGGCACUGCUGGCAGCCAGGAGGGCUCACAGCCCUGGGGCACAGGGGCGAGGUAGUGAUGCAACUGCCUGGCAGGUGCCUUGGGUGGAGACGAGUGCCCCCAUCUCAGUCAUCAUGACUUCUUUAUUCAUGAGCUCCAAAUAUUAUUUUCCUGGCCAACCACAACUCCUGGUCAGGCUGGGGGUGGUCAACUUUCUUUUGCCUCAUUUAAACGCACAGUGCUGCUCCUCAAGUCAACAACCUCUCUUCAGACUCUGCAGUGAGUUUAAGGGGCAUGUAUGCAUGUGUGUGCGUAAGUGUAUGCAUGUUUAUGCCUGUGCUCACACGUGUGUGCCUGUUUAUGGGUGUGUGCAUGCACAUGUGGGUGUGUGCAUGUGUGUCUAUAUGUGUAUAUACAUGUGGGGGUGUGUGCAUGUAAUGCUUGUAUAUACCUAUGUGUGCACACAUGGCGUGUGUGUGUGCAUGUGUGAAUGGAUGUGUCCUGGACCGAGACAAUGAUCGUGCUUAAGUAGUUGUACCUGAGCACAGAGUGACUAGAAUUGGGAAAUUUCUACGAUCCCAAUUGUAUUCUGACUUAUGAUCCUAACACUAACUCCCAUCCAGGGAAGCUGAGAAGGAAACUCUGAAGUCAGUUGCAUAUCUAACCUCCCCCUACCCUGUGCCCCCACACCACUGCUGCAUUCAAAGCUGCCUCACCAUCUUCCCAGCCCACAUGGCCUUCCUGGUUCUUACCUGUGAACCUGCUGUUUCUCUCUGCUCGAAAAGCCUCCAGAGUCACACAGAAUGCAUCUUUCUUCAUGCAGCGCGAGGUUCUUGAAUAGCCAAAAUGCCCAAGCAUGAUGCAAAGCCCUUUUAAGAGUUAUUUAUCAUUAAACCUCACAUUGAUCUUAAGAAACAGGAAGAUACGGUUGAGGGUACAGGCUCAGAAAGGUUAAGUGAUUUGCCCAAGGCCACAUGAAGGACCUGAAUCAAGGUUUUCUGGCUCCAAAUUCAGAGCGUUCUGUUAUACUCUCCUAGUUUUAUUGAUCAUGGUACUGCGCAAGACUUUUCAGGAGAGUUUGGUCAUCUCCCAUGAUGCCAACUCCAGAAGAUUAGGAGUGGGCCCCUGUGCGAACAGGAGGUUGUUCUGGGGUCCAUGAGAGGCGGCGGUCACACUUCCUAACACGUUCAGCUGACGCUGGUGCAAAUAGGACAAAGGAGGGGCUCUCACCCCAAACAUUCCAGUCAGGGGGACGGAACUUGGUGUAAGUGAGGGG